RNAcentral lists this transfer RNA (72 nucleotides) under Ganoderma lucidum G.260125-1. RNAcentral's name for it is "tRNA-His (GTG) (tRNA-His-GTG-2-1)". It matches the Rfam family "tRNA". Rfam says of the family: Transfer RNA (tRNA) molecules are approximately 80 nucleotides in length. The record is from RNAcentral. Lineage: Eukaryota; Fungi; Basidiomycota; Agaricomycetes; Polyporales; Polyporaceae. RNAcentral also lists the same sequence under 1 other name.
GUCCUGGUCGAUUAGUGGUCAGAUCAUCACGUUGUGGCCGUGAAGACGGGGGCUCGAAUCCCCCCCGGGACA